RNAcentral lists this long non-coding RNA (291 nucleotides) under Homo sapiens (human). Its description in RNAcentral is "HSALNT0311955". The record is from RNAcentral. Lineage: Eukaryota; Metazoa; Chordata; Mammalia; Primates; Hominidae.
ACACACGGGACCAGACGCUUGCUUUAGUUGACGCAUGAAGACCGGUCCGGUCUUUUGCGGAGAAAAGUGGUUAAAAGCUGACUUGUGGGCCGAGAAACUGUGGCACCCUAAUGAGCUAGGGCUAGACGCUUCGACCACCACGCCAAGUGAUUCUGAAGAUCUCUAAUUCUGUCAAGGCGAGAGCGCUCCAACACGUGUUCAUCGGCUGUUGCUUUUUAAAGAGAAGGCAAGGAGGAAGUCUUGCUUUUCUUGUACUUUUUUUCCUAGAAGCAGCAUUAAAGAUUUACUCCU